AGGAAUGAAACAUAAAGGUGACUGUCCUCUUUCUAGCUUUAGUCCCAACAUAGACGUGUGGAUAUUUUACCCAAGGCCCAAAUGAGGUCUCCACUCCCAGGAUGGUUCCGAGACGGCACUUGUCAUUUUUGUAUUGAUCUUCCUUAUUGACAUUCAGUGCCUGUGCUUAUUAAAGCCUCCAGAGCUUGGGGGAGAGGGGGAGCACCUGUCUCAAUUUCUGACAGACCUUUUUGUCUUGUGUGUUGCCCUUUCUGCUACCCCGUGAAAGGUGCCAUCAUUGUCAGGAGAUGCCCAAAGCGCAUAGGAGGCUUUUGGGAAAGCUGGAAUUUGUAUGAUCACUCUGCCAGAACAUUUCAACUGCGCCUAUCUUUUUUCCAGCAUUAAUGAGCAAAGAGCUACAGGAUGUGAGCAGCAAUCAGUCAUCUCUUUUAAUUAAUCUCCUCUCAUUUAGCUAUGCAUGUGCCUUUUAUAGGAGCUUGACAGAGUGUAACGCACACUUCCCUGAAAUGUCUCUCUUAAUUUAUGGCAUUUUUUUUUCAAAGGGGAAGCAGUGCUGCUGUUGACUGAACAUGAAGUGUGCAUCAGCUAAUGCGGCUCUUACUAUUCCGUCCUGUGCAUAUUUACUCAGAACUAAGUCCCACUGUCUGUUAAAUUAAGCUUACGUCCAGGUAAAUGUGCACAGGAUUGCAACAUUAGGCUCAAAAGUGUGUUCUGUUGUUCCAAGGAACAUGCACUGCAUUGCAGAAACCUUAAUCUAAAUCAGUGUAGGGAAAAAUUAGCCCUCGAUAUGUUGCUGGACUGUGACUCCCAACGUCUCUGCUCAUUGACCAUGCUUGUUAGGGGUGAUGGGAGUAGUAGCUUAGCAAUGUCUAAAGGGCCCAAAGUUCCCUGCCCCUAACCUAAACAAUUUACUGCUGAGCACAUAUUGGCCUGUUUUGAAGAUACAGCAGGAGGACCUUUUACUCAGCAGUAGAACAUAUACUUUGCAUGCCAAAGGUCCAAGGUUCAAUCUUUGGCAUCUCCAAUCAAAAAGGUUCUACGAGAACUUAGAAAACUUGUUGUUGUUUAGUCGGGUCCGACUCUUUGUGACCCCAUGGACCACAGCACGCUAGGCACUCCUGUCUUCCACUGCCUCCCGCAGUUUAGUCAUGUUGGUAGCUUUGAGAACACUGUCCAACCAUCUUGUCCUCUGUCGUCCCUUCUCCUUGUGCCCUCCAUCUUUCCCAACAUCAGGGUCUUUUCCAGGGAGUCUUCUCUUCUCAUGAGGUGGCCAAAGUAUUGGAGCCUCAGCUUCAGGAUCUGUCCUUCCAGUGAGCACUCAGGGCUGAUUUCCUUCAGAAUGGAUAGGUUUGAUCUUCUUGCAGUCCAUGGGACUCUCAAGAGUCUCCUCCAGCACCAUAAGUCAAGAGCAUCAAUUCUUCGGCGAUCAGCCUUCUUUAUGGUCCAGCUCUCACUUCCAUACAUCACUACUGGGGAAACCAUAGCUUUAACUGUACAGACCUUUAUUGGCAAGGUGAUAUCUCUGCUUUUUAAGAUGUUGUCUAGAUUUGUCAUUGCUUUUCUCCCAAGAAGCAGGCGUCUUUUAAUUUCGUGACUGCUGUCACCAUCUGCAGUGAUCAUGGAGUCCAAGAAAGUAUAAUCUCUCACUGCCUCCAUUUCUUCCCCUUCUAUUUGCCAGGAGGCGAUGGGACCUGUGGCCAUGAUCUUCGUUUUUUUGAUGUUGAGCUUCAGACCAUAUUUUGGGCUCUCCUCUUUGACCCUCAAUAAAAGGUUCUUUAAUUCCUCCUCACUUUCUGCCAUCAAGGUUGUGUCGUCUGCAUAUCUGAGGUUGUUGAUAUUUCUUCCAGCAAUCUUAAUUCUGGCUAGGGAUCCUUCCAGCCCAGACUUUUGCAUGAUGAAUUCUGCAUAAAAGUUAAAUAAGCAGGGAGACAAUAUACAGCCUUGCCGUAUUCCUUUCCCAAUUUUGAACCAAUCAGUUGUUCCAUCUCCAGUUCUAACUGUAGUUUCUUAUCCCACAUAGAGAUUUCUCAGGAGACAGAUGAGGUGAUCAGGCACUCCCAUUUCUUUAAGAACUUGCCAUAGUUUGCUGUGGUCGACACAGUCAAAUGCUUUUGCAUAGUCAAUGAAGCAGAAGUAGAUGUUUUUCUGGAACUCUCUAGCUUUUUCCAUAAUCCAGCACACGUUUGCAAUUUGGUCUCUGGUUCCUCUGCCUCUUGGAAAUCCAGCUACCAAAUCAGGCCAUUGGAGAUUCCAGCUAAACAUCAGGAAAAACUUUCUGACAGUACGAACUGUUCGAUAGUCUCCCUCAGGAGGUUGUGGACUCUCCUUCCUUGAAGGUUUUUAAGUGGAGCUUGGAUGGCCAUCUGCUGUGGAUGCUUUAGCUGAGUUUCCUGCAUUGCAAGAGGUUGGACUAGAUGACUCCUGGGAUCCCUUCCAACUCUAUGAUUCUAUUAUUCUACCCCACGCUCAGUAUUGUAUACACUGGCAGGGACUCUCCAAGUUUCAGAAGAUUGUCCUUGAAGUUGUAUUUCUGUGGCUCUUGAAGCCUUAACAGUCUUUGUGUUUUGAGAUUAUCUGUGCAGUCAUGAAUACUGGAAACCUGCUGAGUUCUUGUUGUUGAUGUGUGUGUGUGUGUGUGUGUGUGUGUGUGUGGUGAUUUCACAUCAAAAUGUUCAUUAGGUGUAAAAUAGGAUCUCCAUUCAGUCUCCUUCUUCUGGACCUGCAAAAUCUAGAAGGCAAAAACUGGAAGUUAACUUUUCCCCUCCUCUUUCUCCCACCAGGGACAAAUGUUCAUGAAGCCAAGCGCAUUCUGACUGAAAGUGGGCUCCCGAUCACCGCCGCAAGUGACCUUGAAGAUGCUGCCAAGAAGGCAGUGGCCAGUGUGACGAAGAAAUAGAAGACACUUCCAGCAAAGGACUUUAUAUAACAUACAACAUCCCCCAAGUUGUCUCAAAUGCAUAUCUUUUAACCAGCCAGGAGUAAAACUCUAUUUGGUCAGCCUAACCUAUCCAUAAUAAAGUACGAGUUUUUUGGUGUAUAUAAAAAAAAAAAUUGUUUGGAACUUCACACAGAGCUCCUGUUGUUCAGUGAUAUUUCACAAUGGUCCGUGAGUACAGUAUGAUGAGUAACUACUAUCUAUUUCCACUCUGGUUUCUUCCUCAUAUAAUAUGCCAUUGUCAGUGACUUGUAAUUUUUGUAAGGUGUUUUGGUACAUCUUUAAUGUCCUGGAGGAAUAGUAGAGAAUGGUUCGGUCUUUAUUGGUCAUCAUGGCCAGGAUCCAAGGAAGCACACAAUGGGAAUUUUGUUUCUCAAAAAUAGCAGCCUUCCAACAUGGCAAGAAACUUUUGAAACUGCCACAAAUGCCAUUUGUGAUAAGACUUGCCAAUUGAAUUUUUAAAAGACAAAAAAAAAAAAGAUUCCAAAUUGGGUAUGCCCAAAAGCCUUCAGGGUGUAAGAUACAGCUUUCUGAAUCUUGGCCAUUUUUUUUAAAAAACCUUUUCCAACUAGGGCUAGAGAAAUGGUUACAUUUAUAUUAUGUCAUUUGAGCCAAAAUAACAGGAAUUGGAUUUUUCACUUAGAAGAUGCGUACCUGUUUCACACAUGCCUUAAAAUUAAAUGUUUGUGCUUUGAUAUCCACUGUAUACCUCACAUCAGAAGAAAACUCAAAAAUGUAGCUGUGUGAAACCAUACUGAUAUAUCAUAUCAUGAAUGAAUGAGUUUCUCGUGUGAAUACUUAAGCAAUGAAGGACGAAUGCAAUGCAUAGUGCCAUGUUAUUUUGAUAACUGUGUGUCCACUUAAUACUGACUGUGACCUUCCUAAAUCAAUGUGCAUUGUUGCUGGAGAAUCGACAUAGUGUGCUGAAGAUCUUUUUGUGGGUGGGAUGACAUUUCUUCAAACAUUUAUACUGUUAUCCCACUGAGAUUAGUCAAACCUGCCUAGUAGGAGCUGUCAGGGAACCUGCCGUCAUUAAAAAGAAUGUGAAAAAAUAUAUAAACCAUAAUGAGAAUUAUUAGGGCAUAAUCUGGCUUGAGAUAAGAACUUUCCAGUUCUGUUAAUUGCGAAGAAGGUAUUAAUCAUGAGCUUCAUUUUCAUUUUGCAAUAAAUUGAACUUUCAAGUACUUAACGUUGGCUUUAUCGUGCCUUUGAUUUGUGGAAAAUAUGUAUGCAAAAAAGGUGCAGAAGCUGUUGAACUGAUUCAAUAACUAUUAUGCUUAUUUCACAAUGGAAAGAUUUGUUUUUUAAAAAGAAAAACAACUGGAAUGUUCACUGUUGAAAUCUACUUUGUUUUUGGUGCUGGUAAUUCACACGAGUUCUACAAUAAGGAAACAGAAGUAUACGCCACAUUGUCUAACUAACUUAAACCACAAAUGCAUGUGCUGAACUUUUUUGUUUAAUGUUCAGGAAAGACUAUUGAAACUAAUUUAAGUGAAAAUUAUCUAAUAAAUUUUUCAUUGUUAAUA
Molecule: long non-coding RNA, 4461 nt
Filed under: Podarcis lilfordi (Lilford's wall lizard)
Lineage: Eukaryota; Metazoa; Chordata; Lepidosauria; Squamata; Lacertidae
Source: RNAcentral